UGGGAAUUUGGACAAUGGGCGAAAGCCUGAUCCAGCAAUGCCGCGUGUGUGAAGAAGGCCUUCGGGUUGUAAAGCACUUUUGUCCGGAAAGAAAUCCUUGGCUCUAAUACAGUCGGGGGAUGACGGUACCGGAAGAAUAAGCACCGGCUAACUACGUGCCAGCAGCCGCGGUAAUACGUAGGGUGCAAGCGUUAAUCGGAAUUACUGGGCGUAAAGCGUGCGCAGGCGGUUUGCUAAGACCGAUGUGAAAUCCCCGGGCUCAACCUGGGAACUGCAUUGGUGACUGGCAGGCUAGAGUAUGGCAGAGGGGGGUAGAAUUCCACGUGUAGCAGUGAAAUGCGUAGAGAUGUGGAGGAAUACCGAUGGCGAAGGCAGCCCCCUGGGCCAAUACUGACGCUCAUGCACGAAAGCGUGGGGAGCAAAACAGGAUUAGAUACCCUGGUAGUCCACGCCCUAAAACGAUGUCAACUAGUUGUUGGGGAUUCAUUUCCUUAGUAACGUAGCUAACGCGUGAAGUUGACCGCCUGGGGAGUACGGUCGCAAGAUUAAAACUCAAAUGAAUUGACGGGGUCAUAGCUGUUUCC
Molecule: ribosomal RNA, 584 nt
Filed under: uncultured bacterium
Lineage: Bacteria
Description: partial 16S ribosomal RNA
Rfam family: Bacterial small subunit ribosomal RNA
Source: RNAcentral